RNAcentral lists this ribosomal RNA (264 nucleotides) under uncultured bacterium. RNAcentral describes it as "partial 16S ribosomal RNA". The record is from RNAcentral.
CUGCUGCCUUCCGUAGGAGUCUGGGCCGUGUCUCAGUCCCAAUGUGGCCGGUCACCCUCUCAGGUCGGCUACUGAUCGUCGGCUUGGUGGGCCGUUACCCCGCCAACUACCUAAUCAGACGCGGGCCCAUCUUACACCACCGGAGUUUUUACCGCUGUACCAUGCGGUACUGCGGUCUUAUGCGGUAUUAGCAGUCAUUUCUAACUGUUAUCCCCCUGUGUAAGGCAGGUUGCCCACGCGUUACUCACCCGUCCGCCGCUCAGU